Molecule: long non-coding RNA, 1342 nt
Organism: Pogoniulus pusillus (Red-fronted tinkerbird)
Lineage: Eukaryota; Metazoa; Chordata; Aves; Piciformes; Lybiidae
Exons: 2
Source: RefSeq, a predicted model, not a curated record
AGACUUUCAGUGAUAACCAGAGCCCUUGGCAGAUAUGAGUGCUGGUUUAGGGGGGUUUUUUGCUUUCAUUUCCUUUCAUGUAUUUUUACAUAUUUUGCAUUUCAUAUUACCUCUUUUCAACUGUGUAAAUAAGUAGUUCUAGUUGCUUUUAGCCUACUCUGGUUUGGGUCAAAAAUAUCUUUUGAGUAACUGGCUGAAUCUCCUUGUAUUCCAGUCUUCCAGAACGGCAGUACACAAAAACCAGGGUUCUGGACAUCUCUCCCCUGCUUCUCAUCUUUGCACUAUGUAAGAAGACAUGUUUUCACAUCACUGCAAGGAACAAUUUGCUAUGAAAAAGCAGAUGCCUUGGGAGAAGAAUUCAUGUCUGAAACAAGCGUCCAAACCCACGUUCACAAAGUUGUUGACCACUUGCUGUAACAGCUGCAUAUAUUUAAGAGAUGGAAAGGACCUAAGUCUAUGUAAAGAAUUCUUCCACCUUUUGUAAAGACUCCUAUUUUUUGUAUGGGGUGUAGAACUGUAGCUGCUAAUACUGAGUUUGUUGCCUGAAAAUGAAUGGCAUUUGUAUUGGGUUUGUCCAAAAGACUUUAUUCAAGAUCUUAGCCAAAGUUAGUCCGUCCAUGCAUGGCAUUCUUCUCUUGGUGUCUUCCACUUCCAUAUCGUGCUGCAAAUUCACUUCAUAAAAUCCUCAGCUCUUCAGAAACAGGUUUUUAGCACGGGAACUUAGUAUCGGCAAAAGAAUGAGGAGCGGUUGUAAACUUCCUGCCAGCAUGGGAGCGAUUGGAAACACCUGUCCCAAGCACAAGGGCCAACAGUGAGAAGCAGCUUCAGGAGCUGAGAUUCUGCACUUGGGGCCAAUCAGUGCCAACCCAGCUCUGCCACUUCCAGAGCUAUAAGGCUGACCAAUUGCAGUUGUACUGGAUCGACGGGAAGGAAGUGAAAUAACAAGGAGCCACUGCCUUACAAAGGCUUGGGUGUCUCAGAGUUAGAUGCCUACCAGCCUGUCUGAAAAUCCUCUUGGAGAUCUCCCUGCAUUUUUAACAUACACACACCUGAAGACUUUUCACUAAUAUUCUAUGAACUCAAUUCUUGAAAACUGGUCUUAGGACCUUUGUUGCUUCUAUCUUAAUAAAAGUACACAGCAAAUAAACGUGACUAUUUACUGACAUUUUCUGUAAGCAUACCCUAUUAUUCUACUCCACGUUUUAUUCUAGCUACUGUACAAGAAAAGUGUUAAAUGUGACUUGGGCAGGGCUUUCAGGCUGCAAAUUGCAAAGAGCAGAAGGUGCAAGGGCUGUACAUAAACUCUCCAUCAGCUGAGGCUUUCAAGCGAAGAGUGAAAGCC